AUUGAAUGGCCGCAGUACAUUAACUGUGCGAAGGUAGCAUAAUAAUUAGUCUUUUAAUUGAAGGCUUGAAUGAAUGAUUGGAUGAGAAAUAAUCUUUAUUAUUAUAAAUUCUUGAAUUUGAUAUUUUAGUCAAAAAGCUUAAAUAUAUAAGUGGGACGAGAAGACCCUAUAGAAUUUAAAAUUUAUUUAAUUUUAAUAAAUUAAGAAUAAAAAUAAAUCAAAUCUAAAUAUAUUUUUAAUUGGGGUGAUUUUGAAAUGAAUAUAACUUUUAAUUAAAUUUACAUAAAUAUAUGUUUUAUUGAUCCAUUUUAUUGAUUAAAAGAAUAAAUUACCUUAGGGAUAACAGCGUAAUUAAUUUGGAGAGUUCAUAUUGAUAAAUCUAGUUUGCGACCUCGAUGUUGGAUUAAGAAAAAUAUUUGGAGCAAAAUCUAAAUAAAUUAGGUCUGUUCGACCUUUAAAUUCUUACA
RNAcentral lists this ribosomal RNA (467 nucleotides) under Katoa paucispina. Its description in RNAcentral is "partial large subunit ribosomal RNA". The stretch from base 339 to 467 matches the Rfam family "Archaeal large subunit ribosomal RNA", at positions 2542 to 2669 of the family's 2987-position model. The record is from RNAcentral. Lineage: Eukaryota; Metazoa; Arthropoda; Insecta; Hemiptera; Cicadidae.